RNAcentral lists this ribosomal RNA (835 nucleotides) under uncultured bacterium. RNAcentral's name for it is "bacterial SSU rRNA". It matches the Rfam family "Bacterial small subunit ribosomal RNA", at positions 613 to 1449 of the family's 1533-position model. The record is from RNAcentral.
CCUGGGAACUGCGUUNUGAACUGGGUGACUAGAGUGUGUCAGAGGGAGGUAGAAUUCCACGUGUAGCAGUGAAAUGCGUAGAGAUGUGGAGGAAUACCGAUGGCGAAGGCAGCCUCCUGGGAUAACACUGACGUUCAUGCCCGAAAGCGUGGGUAGCAAACAGGAUUAGAUACCCUGGUAGUCCACGCCCUAAACGAUGUCGAUUAGCUGUUGGGCAGCUUGACUGCUUAGUAGCGAAGCUAACGCGUGAAAUCGACCGCCUGGGGAGUACGGUCGCAAGAUUAAAACUCAAAGGAAUUGACGGGGACCCGCACAAGCGGUAGAUGAUGUGGAUUAAUUCGAUGCAACGCGAAGAACCUUACCUGGUCUUGACAUGUACGGAACCCUCCAGAGACGGAGGGGUGCCUUCGGGAGCCGUAACACAGGUGCUGCACGGCUGUCGUCAGCUCGUGUCGUGAGAUGUUGGGUUAAGUCCCGCAGCGAGCGCAACCCUUGUCAUUAGUUGCCAUCAUUAAGUUGGGCACUCUAAUGAGACUGCCGGUGACAAGCCGGAGGAAGGUGGGGAUGACGUCAAGUCCUCAUGGCCCUUAUGACCAGGGCUUCACACGUCAUACAAUGGUCGGUACAGAGGGUAGCCAAGCCGUGAGGUGGAGCCAAUCUCACAAAACCGAUCGUAGUCCGGAUUGCACUCUGCAACUCGAGUGCAUGAAGUCGGAAUCGCUAGUAAUCGCAGGUCAGCAUACUGCGGUGAAUACGUUCCCGGGUCUUGUACACACCGCCCGUCACACCAUGGGAGUGGGGGAUACCAGAAGUAGGUAGGGUAACCGCAAGGAGC